GCUUCCUCCUCAUCUUCUCUUGCUACCACCAUGUAAGAAGUGCCUUUCAGCUCCCACCAUAAUUCUGACAUCUCCUCAGCCAUGUGGAACUUUCCCAGGUAAUGCUGAUGCUGCUGAUCUGGGGGCAAUACUUUAAGAACCACUGGACUGUAACAAUGUCAAACCUGCCUGAUGAGAAGAAUCACCUGGAAGGUUUAAAAAAAUGCAAAAUCCUCGGCCCCAUGCCAGACUUUCUGACUCAACCUCCAGGGAAGAGCCUAAAAUUUUCUAUUUCAACAAUCCUGCCUGAUUAAUAUGAUUAGCAAGAAUUUGUUUGUACCAGCUCUAUGCCAUACACCGUGAUAGACACACCAGACGUGGAAGUGAGAAAUAUGGUUCCCAUCUUGGAUAGCAAAGAAGAUGGACAAAUAAACCAACAAAUUAAACACAGAAAAACGUUUUCUAAAGGAAGGAGGUUUCUUGAAGGAAGUGGUACUUCUGUUGAAAUAUGAAAGAUGAGUGAGGGUUAGUCACAUACAGAAAGGGAGAAGGGAGUAUCCAAUGUAGAUAGAACAGCAUAUGAAAAGCACAGAGAUGUGAGAGAGCAGGUAGGCAUUGCUGUAAAUCCAGGUGGAUGUAAAAAAAAUCAGAGCCUUGCAGGAACUAGGUUGUAGAAAGCUCUGUGGACUAAGUUUAGUUGGUUUAACUUUAUCCUAAAAGUCACAGGAAAAUAUUAAAGAUGUUUAAAAAAGAAAAAAAAGCAGAUUUUCAUUUUAUUAACAAAACAUAACUCUGGCAGCAGGUGUGGAAAAUGGAUGGAGGGGCCAGGACCAGAAGAAAGACACCUGUUACUGAAGCAAUGCAGAUGGGAAAUGAUGGAGACCUAGAUGUAGACCAUGCCAGCAAAGACGGAGGGGCAGAAUUGAGUAAUACUUGUAGAACUAAUGUAACUUACAGGAUGAUUAGAUACAUAGAAAGGAGACUAACUCAAUCCUUUAUUUUUCUUCCUUUUUCAAAAGUUUUUUUAAGACUAUAUUACUAUCUUUUCCCCAUUCCCUCCAUACUUAAUAUGACAGUUAGCUAAUUUUACUUGAAUACCUAUGUCUUAUUCUUUACCAACACCAUCAAGCAGCAGCAUCUCCCUACCACCACCACAACAAGCAGCAAGUGUUUAUGGAGCACCUCUUAAUAAAUUAUCCUUUGUCUUGUUUUGUGACAAAUUUACAUUCCUCUCUGCUUUACUUUUGCUUUAUCCUGUAUUUUUCAUUGUUCUGUGGUUUAGCGUGUAUUUUCUUCUGCUCUUCCAGGACCAUAGGAUUUCAGAGCUUGUUACUUAAGUUCUCAGGUUUUUGAUAUGUACUUGGAAUUUUAUUUUUUACUACUUUCUCAAAGUAAUGCUCCACAAAUAUUUCUUAUGUAAUUCCAAUGCAUCUAAAGAGAUUUAGCAUUUGAGUUUUAUGUUAAACCAAUAAACUGAUUAAAGCCAUAAUUAGCAAUCACCAACUUUUAUCUGGAAAUAAACUGAAAACUAUUAUUCACUUACUAAGGCUCUGGUGUACUUAUUUCUGUAAAGAGAACACUAUACUUUGCUCAAAGAAGUAAUACAAUUUAUAUUUUCUCCUGUUCUCAUGUGUGCAAAUUAUGUUCAUUUUAUUGUACAGGCUAUAUAUCUUCUGCAAUACCUUCAUCUGCCUGUAGGUGUAAAGUUAAAAUUCAGCUCUUCUG
This 1704-nucleotide long non-coding RNA is filed under the name Homo sapiens (human). Its description in RNAcentral is "HSALNT0293087". Lineage: Eukaryota; Metazoa; Chordata; Mammalia; Primates; Hominidae. The record is from RNAcentral.